Sapajus apella (tufted capuchin) is the source of this 2337-nucleotide long non-coding RNA. RefSeq lists it as uncharacterized. The transcript is spliced from 3 exons. Lineage: Eukaryota; Metazoa; Chordata; Mammalia; Primates; Cebidae. The record is from RefSeq and is a predicted model, not a curated record.
UCAAGUUGUAUUUUUAUAUUUUUUAUUUUACAUUUUCUCUCACAUAGUCCAAUUGAAGUUUUCUUAUUUAAAUAUCUUGGCAUAUGUCGAAAAUUUGCUUUUUCCCCCUUGAAAUCUUAACUACUACAAAUACAAAUACUAAGUGUAUUUCAUUUACUCACUGAAUUGAACUGAUUUUAAAACUGAAUUGCAGAUGUCCCAUGAAGGGGCACAUAUAUGAUUAUGGAAAAUUAUUCUAUUGAAAAUAACAGUCGUUUUUAUAGCGAUAUAAAUCUGAGAAAGCAAAACAAAUUGAGGUUGGAAAAACAGAUGUAUUCAAUAAAAAACUACUGUGUGCACGUGGUGAACUAGUCUUUAGCAAGAUUCGAAUAAUGCAAUCAGUAGGAAUUUGGCUGGCCUGUGGAGUUUUCAAAGGCAUGGAUGUUCGAAUAAUAGCUGGAAAUCUGUUGUGGACACGAGGCUAUUAAGCCUGUCUCCCGCUGCAUUCAAUAUAGUGGUAAAAACUAUUAUUAAAUAACUGAUUUUAUAGCAACUGUUACAAUUAUUUGACCAAAGUAUAAAUUAAAGUUUAUGAUGGAUGCAAAUGUACAUCUUAAAAUGUAUAAUACUAAUUUAGGUUCCUUUCUCAUUUUAAAAUAACCAUUCAGACGACGGAACAGUGAUUACCAAAAUAAGAGCAAAUUAAUAAGGCUGACAGGAAGACUUCUCGAAAGUGUGAAACAUUAAAUGUGCCUUUACUUUUCAAACACAGAAUCCUACAAUUAUCAGAGGUCUCGUCUCUCGCUGAGUGCACACAACUCCCAUUAGCGGUAAUGGUACUGACGCACAUGAAACCCCGAGAAACAAUUAAGAGGCACAAAUGACGGAUCUGGUCCCCAAGCCUCCUGUGUCACAUGUUGACAUCCACCACACCUGGUGAGGAGGAACCGUAACUGAUUAACCCACUGAUGGUCAGUCUUUCUAGCCAUUGCUGCCACUUGCAUCAUUUCCUCCCUUGAAGCCCCGGAAAUCAAACUUGUCAAUUUAUAAAGGGCAAAAUUCUUUGUUAAGUGAAAUGCCUCGUACUUAGGCACAAAUAAAGCUUUUCUGGUGUAGGGAUAGGAACUGAUCCCAUUUUCUCUCCCUAGUUUGUUCCCUGCAUCAGAAUAAUUUCAAACUUGGAAAGCCUUUUAUCACUGAAGCUUUUUAGAAAUGACGGAUUCCCAGGCCCUGGCCUGUGUUUACGGUCUCUGAGUCUGGGAGUUGGCAGUGCAUUUCCUAAAGACCUUCAUGAGAUUGGGGGUUGGGGUGUGAGCAGGGUUUGAGAAGCAGCAGCACUACCCUGUAAUAUCUAACUCAGUAGUUGGCAAAAAGUAAGCACAUAAUACUAUUUGAGGAUAGAACAAUUUUAAGGAGGAUUUAAAAAUAUUUUAAAUUCUAUUAUACAUAAUAUAUACAUAAAUAUGUAUGCUAUAUGUAAUAUAGACAUAUAUAUUCCUGGAAAGUCUCAGGAACAACUUGACUUUACCUUUGACUCAAAGUAAAUAUUCAUAUUAAUAAAAUGCACACAUGGGUAUUCCAGAGCAUUGAGUUUAAAUUAAAAAUAUUAAAAGUCCCUAAGAUUGUGAAUAGACCCAAUGUGAGAUACAUAUAAAACACACACAACGCAUGUGCAUGCACGCAUACAGUUAUUUGGAAAAUGAAAAUUUUUAAGAGCAUAGAAGAGGUGGAAGCCACUCUAGAAUUCAUAUAAUCUAGGCUUUUUUUAAAAAAAAUCUAUUUGGCCAUCAUAAUCAUCUGGGAAGAUUUGUAGAAAGAUCAGUUACGAAAAUCUCCUCCCUAAUUACCGAAUCUACAUUUCAGAGAGGGACCCUGGGAAUCUGUAUGGUUUAAAAUUUUGAAAACACAUCCGAUGACUCGUGGGGAUUCUAACUUUUCUUCCCAAGUGUCCUUGUUCUUUUAGUACUUGCUUGGAUGGUGUGGCUUCCUGCCAUUGAUCAUCUGGUCACUGUCCUUUGAGCAAAUCUGUCUACCUGGUUCUCACUGAAAGCACAGUGGCAGUUGUGUAGCUGAGAGAGGGCAUCUUUCUCCAGGUUCGGACUCAGGUCUACCAGAGCAUCAAGAUCCAGUAAAAGCUGUGCCAGAGUUUAUGGAGUGAAGUCUAUAGCACUUUCCAUACCUCUCCUUGGAUUCUAACUCGGCGGCCUCUGAAGGCUCUGCUCCAGGAUGGCUCUCCCUCUUGUGUGGGCUUUGGCCUUGGGGCUUGCUGACAGGAAUCAUCUGGAGUUUUAGGCAGAAGUCUGCUGCACAGACGGAGCCCUCAUGGAGAACCUGUGCCAGGGCAGUGCAGAAGGAAAA